This 389-nucleotide transfer-messenger RNA is filed under the name Burkholderiales. RNAcentral describes it as "Achromobacter insuavis_A Standard tmRNA". It matches the Rfam family "transfer-messenger RNA". Rfam says of the family: Bacterial tmRNA, also known as 10Sa RNA or SsrA, is named for its dual tRNA and mRNA-like properties. Its role is to liberate the mRNA from a stalled ribosome. RNAcentral also lists the same sequence under 5 other names. The record is from RNAcentral. Lineage: Bacteria; Pseudomonadati; Pseudomonadota; Betaproteobacteria.
GGGGCCGAUCCGGAUUCGACGUGGGUCGCGAAACAACUCAGGGCAUGCCGAGCACCAGUACGCUCGUUAAACCACUGGAACACUACAAACGCCAACGACGAGCGUUUCGCUCUCGCCGCUUAAGCGGUGAGCCGCUGCACUGAUCUGUCCUUGGGUCAGGCGGAGGAAGGCAACUUCCUAGGGGGGCAACCCUCGAACCGCAGCAGCGACAUUCACAAGGAAUCGGUUCGCGCUGGGGUCACACGGCUCGGAUUUAAAUUACGUGAAUCGCUCUGGUCCGGCCUGUCGGUUGGCUAAGUCCAGGGUUAAAACCAAAUAGAUCGACUACGCAUGUAGAACUGGUUGCGGAGGGCUUGCGGACGGGGGUUCAAUUCCCCCCGGCUCCACCA